This 76-nucleotide transfer RNA is filed under the name Clostridiales bacterium. RNAcentral describes it as "tRNA-Ala". It matches the Rfam family "tRNA". From Rfam's summary of the family: Transfer RNA (tRNA) molecules are approximately 80 nucleotides in length. Their secondary structure includes four short double-helical elements and three loops (D, anti-codon, and T loops). Lineage: Bacteria; Bacillati; Bacillota; Clostridia; Eubacteriales. The record is from RNAcentral.
GGGGAUAUAGCUCACCUGGUAGAGCGCUUGAAUGGCAUUCAAGAGGCAAGGGGUUCGACUCCCCUUAUCUCCACCA